Papaver somniferum (opium poppy) is the source of this 673-nucleotide long non-coding RNA. RefSeq lists it as uncharacterized. NCBI's taxonomy places the organism in Eukaryota, Viridiplantae, Streptophyta, Magnoliopsida, Ranunculales, Papaveraceae. The record is from RefSeq and is a predicted model, not a curated record. The transcript is spliced from 2 exons.
AUAAGUUUUUGUUUUUUUUGCUUUUGCGAUCAUUUUUAUCAAUAUCACCUACACGAAUAAACCUGAUUGUUUGUUAAGAAAAAACAGCGAAUCAUCAUGGCAAGGAAAAUCACUGCUCUCUUCGUGAUGUGCAUUGUUCUCGUUGCUGCAACCUUCUACGUGCACGAAACCGCCGCGUCCGAUGCUCCGACGCCAGAAUUUGUUUCUUGUUUCAACAAUUGCAAAGACGAGUGCCUGACUACUUUAACUGGUCAGACCUAUAAAUGCGAAAUCAAAUGCGAUGACGAAUGCUCAAAAAAGGAAGCUGAACACAAGAUUAAGACUAUCUUCGGUUGAAGUUAAAGAGGCGCAUGGUUACACGAAGUUGUUAAAAGAGUACUGCGAGUGUAAUCGAUCCAUGGAAGAAAUCUAUAAAAUAAUGAUGUUCAUUUUCUUUUGUAAUAACCCUGAAACUAAUUCAGGUAAUUAAAUUUUCAAUAACAUUUUUGUUUUUGCUUUACUUUUCUUUUUAUGUAUGGAUUUUGAGAUCUCCUUUGGUAUCGACGUUGUUAUCAAAAUAUUUGUAGUACAUGCAGUAACUACAAAUUUAUGUAUGAUAAUAGUUUGAAGGUUGUAAUUCAAUAGUUUGUUGAAAAAAAUAAAAAAACAACAAAGAAAUCUAAUUAAUUGAUCA